CAAAACCAUCAGUGUGACAUGACAGCAUCACCAGGGGCUGACGGAGAUCUGCGUACCCAGGACCCGCCCAGCUCACGCAGGCCUGACAGAGAAGUCCAGCAUGUGAGGGCCCCGAGUUCACUCUUGUCUCGUGAAGAAGCACUGAAGAAUCUGUGCCCCUGCCGAGUCCGGAUGAGAUGCCCAAGCUGUACAGAGUCAUGCAGGAUGGGGGCAGCAGGUGGCACCAGAGGUUUCCCUUUGACAGACUGUCCUCGAGGAACCAGGGGUUCUCAAUUGCACGACAAAGAUGUUCCCCGUCUACGCCGGCGCUGGUCUGAGUGAGGGUUCCAGGCCAGUGUUCUGACCAGGAUGGGAACACAGAGGAUGAGGUUGUGGAAACACGUGGAUGCUGUCACUGCGUCGACUGAAAAGAUUUGGAGGGUCCCUUCUGAAGUUAACAAAGCCACGUUUCAAAUGGCUCUUGCUGGGACCCCAAGUUCUAGUGCAUGGUGACAAGCUGGGAAAGUCACAUGUCGAGGACGACAUCUGUGACGACACAGGAGGAGGAGGACCCUGGGAGUCACAGCGGGGUCAGACGGGUCUCAGCACACGGCUCCACGCAGAUCGGCCGCCACAUGUGGGCUGCGCUCUCUGCAGAUGGAACAGAGAGGCUGGACUGCAGCAGUUCAUGCUUGCCCCAGGUGAACGUGUUAAAGACGUCACUACUGUCGUCUUUAUCCUGCGCUUUCCAACCACGCGUGCUUCUGUGUUCUGUGAUCCAAGCUUGCAACCUUCCUUGACUUCUUCCUUUGUUUCCUUCGUAGGUUUUCUUCAAGUCACCAACUUCCGUCAGUUCUGGAGCAGCCUCUCCCCACCCCAUCUCCCCGGCGUUGCUCAGUCCUGCUCCUUCCCUGUCACUCUCACUGUCACUGUCUCCAAGUCCAGUGACGGCCACAUAGUUCCUCUGUCGGUUUAUUCUUUCAGUCAUCAAUGUUCUUUUUUCUCCACAGGAUCAAAUCCGUAGGGCCCCCGAAAUUUGGCAAUGCCCCACCCUCCUCCUAGUCUUCAGUACCAAUAUCCCAAACAACACGUGCAUGGUCUUUCUCAUCGUAAAUCUUGGUCAUGGAGCUUCCCCGAAAUGAGAUCCCCUCCUCUCUCAUAUGUACUAAAGUGAACUGGCCUCGAGGCUCAGCUGCUUUCCACCUGCUAACGGAGAAAUCUCUGAUCGUGGCAGCACCAGCGUCUCGUGCACGGGAAGCAAGGCCGCUUCGAACACACCUCAUUCAGCGCCCAGGCUGCCUGCUCCUGCCCUGGCCCGUGGCUCUCCCUGAGAACAGGACUUCCCACUGGGAGGCAGGAGUUUCUGGACUGUGGGUCCCACGUUCCUGCGUAGAGAUGAAAUGCUGAGUGAUCAGAACCGCGUGUCCCCUGUGCUCAGCUUCUAAAUCAAGAGCCAGAGGAAGAUGGGGGAUGCGACACCUGAAAGUCCCCGAGGUCAUUUGGGGCCAGCGUCUCACAUCGGGUUCCAGAAUCAACAAGUCGGUGUGCUAGGGUUUACUCUCCAUCUGUUUUCUUAGAAAAAACAGUCAGACGCUUCGUUCCAACAGGACUCCCUCCCGCUGACUCUGUGACGUUAACUGUAGAAACAGCCACGACGUUGAAAGGUUUGAAGACUCAGACCCACACGGCUAAAGAAAAGGAAAGGACAGUUUUCUUUGGUUUUAUUGCUAAAUACGCUUAUACGUAUGACACAAUCACACGAUUCUAC
Long non-coding RNA from Equus caballus (horse), 1747 nucleotides. NCBI's taxonomy places the organism in Eukaryota, Metazoa, Chordata, Mammalia, Perissodactyla, Equidae. The record is from Ensembl.